This 382-nucleotide ribosomal RNA is filed under the name uncultured eukaryote. Its description in RNAcentral is "partial 18S ribosomal RNA". It matches the Rfam family "Eukaryotic small subunit ribosomal RNA", at positions 592 to 976 of the family's 1831-position model. The record is from RNAcentral.
UGUAAGCGUAUACCAAAGUUGUUGCAGUUAAAACGCUCGUAGUCGGAAUUUGGCAGUUCCGGAAGUGUGCACGUCGUGUGCGCACUUUGCGGGGACUGCUUUUGUGGUCUUGCGUAGGAUGAGGCACUUUCAUUAGUGAACGUCCUCACGCAACCACUCUUUACUGUGAGAAAAUCAGAGUGCUCAAAGCAGGCAUUUGCCGUGAAUGUAUUAGCAUGGAAUAAUAGAAUAGGACUCGGUUCUAUUUGGUUGGUUUGUUGGGACUGAGUAAUGAUUAAGAGGGACAGUUGGGGGCAUUUGUAUUCCGGCGCUAGAGGUGAAAUUCUUAGAUUGCCGGAAGACAAACUGCUGCGAAAGCGUCUGCCAAGGAUGUUUUCAUUGA